This 233-nucleotide long non-coding RNA is filed under the name Hordeum vulgare. RNAcentral's name for it is "long non-coding RNA (HVUL_LNC016716)". Lineage: Eukaryota; Viridiplantae; Streptophyta; Magnoliopsida; Poales; Poaceae. The record is from RNAcentral.
GAUACUAUCCAUAGUUUCAUUAAAAUAAGCAACCAACACAACAAAAAACAGAAUCUGUUAACAGUAGACCACUCUGUAGCAAUCUGUAUAUUUCGUAUACUUAUGUUACUUUAAAAAUUCUGAAAAAUUAUGGCAGUCUGAAGAAUAUGCGUAGAAAUAAGCAGCAAAAAGAAUCAACUCAAAAGCUCUUACAGAAGAAAAUGAAAAUUAUUUUCGUGAGCAGAAAGUUUCUG